RNAcentral lists this ribosomal RNA (253 nucleotides) under uncultured bacterium. RNAcentral's name for it is "partial 16S ribosomal RNA". It matches the Rfam family "Bacterial small subunit ribosomal RNA", at positions 524 to 776 of the family's 1533-position model. The record is from RNAcentral.
UACGUAGGUGGCAAGCGUUGUCCGGAUUUAUUGGGUUUAAAGGGUGCGUAGGCGGCCUUAUAAGUCAGUGCUGAAAUAUCCCGGCUUAACCGGGAGGGUGGCAUUGAUACUGUAGGGCUUGGGUGUAGUCGAGGUAGGCGGAAUUGACGGUGUAGCGGUGAAAUGCUUAGAUAUCGUCAAGAACACCGAUAGUGUAGACAGCUUACUAGGCUACAACUGACGCUGAGGCACGAAAGUGUGGGGAUCAAACAGG